RNAcentral lists this ribosomal RNA (253 nucleotides) under uncultured bacterium. RNAcentral's name for it is "partial 16S ribosomal RNA". It matches the Rfam family "Bacterial small subunit ribosomal RNA", at positions 524 to 776 of the family's 1533-position model. The record is from RNAcentral.
UACGUAGGUGGCAAGCGUUGUCCGGAUUUACUGGGCGUAAAGAGCGCGCAGGCGGUCGUACAAGUCGGGUGUGAAAGCCCCCGGCUCAACUGGGGAGGGUCACGCGAUACUGUUCGACUCGAAGGCAGGAGAGGGAAGCAGAAUUCCCGGUGUAGUGGUGAAAUGCGUAGAUAUCGGGAGGAAUACCAGUGGCGAAGGCGGCUUCCUGGCCUGUUCUUGACGCUGAGGCGCGAAAGCUAGGGUAGCAAACGGG